This 595-nucleotide ribosomal RNA is filed under the name uncultured Sebacina. RNAcentral's name for it is "eukaryotic LSU rRNA". The stretch from base 180 to 333 matches the Rfam family "5.8S ribosomal RNA". Lineage: Eukaryota; Fungi; Basidiomycota; Agaricomycetes; Sebacinales; Sebacinaceae. The record is from RNAcentral.
AGGAUCAUUAUUGAUUGCGAAUCGUUGCCUUCAGUGCUGGCCGGCCUCGGCAAGUGCACGUUGGUGACUUUCAUCCAAUACCCUGUGAACCUUUGGCCUUUGCUAGCUUCGGCCGGCAGAGGAUUUUACACAAACUCGAAUGUAAUGAAAUUUAUUGUCGUGCGCAAGCACUAAUGUACAACUUUCAACAACGGAUCUCUUGGCUCUCGCAUCGAUGAAGAACGCAGCGAAAUGCGAUAAGUAAUGUGAAUUGCAGAAUUCAGUGAAUCAUCGAAUCUUUGAACGCACCUUGCACCCUUUGGCAUUCCGAAGGGUAUGCUCGUUUGAGUGUCAUUGUACUCUCACUCUCUCAAUCUUUUGGAUUGGGAGUGGUGGACUUGGGUGUUGCUGCUUUACUGUGGCUCGCCUCAAAUGGAGUAGUGCAACUCUUGGUUGGACAUAGUACGGCGUGAUAAGUGUCUUCGCCGGCACCUCACUUAGAGGGUGGCUGAUCGGGAGCUCUGUGCUUCAAACCGUCUUCGGACAACAUCUGACAACUUGACCUCAAAUCGAGUAGGACUACCCGCUGAACUUAAGCAUAUCAAUAAGCGGAGGA